Molecule: ribosomal RNA, 252 nt
Filed under: uncultured prokaryote
Description: partial 16S rRNA
Rfam family: Bacterial small subunit ribosomal RNA
Source: RNAcentral
ACGUAGGGUGCGAGCGUUGUCCGGAAUUACUGGGCGUAAAGGGCUCGUAGGUGGUUUGUCGCGUCGUCUGUGAAAUUCCGGGGCUUAACUCCGGGCGUGCAGGCGAUACGGGCAUAACUUGAGUACUGUAGGGGUAACUGGAAUUCCUGGUGGAGCGGUGAAAUGCGAAGAUAUGAGGAGGAGCACCGAUGGCGAAGGCAGCGUACAGGACAGGAACUGAUGCUAAGGCGCGAAAGCUAGGGUAGCGAACAG